This 256-nucleotide ribosomal RNA is filed under the name uncultured bacterium. RNAcentral's name for it is "partial 16S ribosomal RNA". It matches the Rfam family "Bacterial small subunit ribosomal RNA", at positions 78 to 334 of the family's 1533-position model. The record is from RNAcentral.
CUUCGGUAAAAUGGAAACCGGCGAACGGGUGAGUAACGCGUACACAAUCUACCCUUAACAGGGGGAUAGCCUCGGGAAACUGAGAUUAAUACCCCAUAAUAUUGACAGUUUGCAUAAUAAGUCAAUUAAAGUUCAGGCGGUUAAGGAUGAGUGUGCGUCCCAUUAGCUAGUUGGUGAGGUAACGGCUCACCAAGGCGACGAUGGGUAGGGGGCGUGAGAGCGUGGUCCCCCACACGGGUACUGAGACACGGACCCG